This 517-nucleotide ribosomal RNA is filed under the name uncultured Caldithrix sp. RNAcentral describes it as "bacterial SSU rRNA". It matches the Rfam family "Bacterial small subunit ribosomal RNA", at positions 68 to 569 of the family's 1533-position model. The record is from RNAcentral. Lineage: Bacteria; Pseudomonadati; Calditrichota; Calditrichia; Calditrichales; Calditrichaceae.
AGAAAGCUCCCUUCGGGGGGUGAGUAAAGUGGCGAACGGGUGAGUAAUACGUAGGUAAUCUACCUAUAGAUUGGGGAUAACGUGCCUAACGGUGCGCUAAUACCGAAUGACGCAUCAGGAUGUUGAUUCUGAUGUUAAAGGUGGUUCGUAAGAACUAUCGUCUGUGGAUGAGCUUACGGCCCAUUAGCUAGUUGGUGGGAUAACGGCCUACCAAGGCUACGAUGGGUAGCCGGCCUGAGAGGGUGUCCGGCCACACUGGGACUGAGAUACGGCCCAGACUCCUACGGGAGGCAGCAGUAAGGAAUAUUGCGCAAUGGUCGAAAGACUGACGCAGCAACGCCGCGUGGGUGAUGAAGUUCUAUGGAAUGUAAAACCCUGUUAGGAGGGACGAAUAAUAUAAAGCUAACACUUUAUAGUUGACGGUACCUCCAAAGAAAGCCCCGGCUAACUCCGUGCCAGCAGCCGCGGUAAUACGGGGGGGGCGAGCGUUGUCCGGAAUCACUGGGCAUAAAGGGCG